GCGGGUGUAGCUCAGUCGGUUAGAGCGCUGGCCUGUCACGCCAGAGGCCGCGGGUUCGAGUCCCGUCACUCCCGCCA
This 77-nucleotide transfer RNA is filed under the name Chitinophagaceae bacterium. RNAcentral's name for it is "tRNA-Asp". It matches the Rfam family "tRNA". Rfam says of the family: Transfer RNA (tRNA) molecules are approximately 80 nucleotides in length. Their secondary structure includes four short double-helical elements and three loops (D, anti-codon, and T loops). Further hydrogen bonds mediate the characteristic L-shaped molecular structure. tRNAs have two regions of fundamental functional importance: the anti-codon, which is responsible for specific mRNA codon recognition, and the 3' end, to which the tRNAs corresponding amino acid is attached (by aminoacyl-tRNA synthetases). tRNAs cope with the degeneracy of the genetic code in two manners: having more than one tRNA (with a specific anti-codon) for a particular amino acid; and 'wobble' base-pairing, i.e. permitting non-standard base-pairing at the 3rd anti-codon position. Lineage: Bacteria; Pseudomonadati; Bacteroidota; Chitinophagia; Chitinophagales; Chitinophagaceae. The record is from RNAcentral.